RNAcentral lists this ribosomal RNA (430 nucleotides) under uncultured archaeon. RNAcentral describes it as "bacterial SSU rRNA". It matches the Rfam family "Archaeal small subunit ribosomal RNA", at positions 474 to 903 of the family's 1478-position model. The record is from RNAcentral.
UACCUGCAGCUCGAGUGGUAACCGCUAUUAUUGGGCCUAAAGCGUCCGUGGCCGGUUUGGUAAAUAUCUGGGUAAAUCGCGAGGCUUAACUUCACGAAUUUCGGAUAGACUGCCAGACUUGGGAUCGGGGGAGGUCAGAGGUACUCCAGGGGUAGCGGUGAAAUGUUGUAAUCCUUGGAGGACCACCGGUAGUGAAGGCGUCUGACUAGAACGAGUCCGACGGUGAGGGACGAAGCCCUGGGGCGCAAACCGGAUUAGAUACCCGGGUAGUCCAGGGUGUAAACGAUGUGGGCUUUGUAUUGGAGGUCCCACGUGGGUCGUCCAGUGCAGAAGAGAAGUUGUUAAGCCCACCGCCUGGGAAGUACGGUCGCAAGGCUGAAACUUAAAGGAAUUGGCGGGGGAGCACAGCAACGGGAGGAGCGUGCGGUUU